UUCAAUUUUAUGAAUUAACAUGCUAAUUAAUGUAUUAAUCCCCAAAAGUAACCGUCUUCAAAUGGUCUGCAAAAUGCUGUAAGACUCCAAUUUGUACAGUUUGUUAUAUCCAGUUAUAUGCUUUUUCCCCAUAAGUUUUGGAUUCCUUAAAAUGUGAACCAAACACUGACUUUCAUUUCGGCAUAAAUCGAAACUUAAGCCCCAUUAUAAAGCGGUUGGUUUCCGAGGUAUCAAAGACUCAGGUAUCAAAACUGUUUAAGCAAUUACCCGUGGGGGAUUCGCGCAGGUUCAACUGAAUAACGGAAACCGCAUGCUACGCUGGGUUUUUUCGCAUGUCUAGUAGCGGAGGUCGACGCGGGGUCAGGCCAACCCAACGCCAGGGCCAUGGCAACUUGUCAAGCCGAGGAUCGCACGGGAGAGGUGAAUAUGUGGGAACCAGUGCCCCUAGUGGCUGCGCUCAGGACAGGCGAGGGGG
This is a long non-coding RNA of Anguilla anguilla (European eel), 475 nucleotides long. RefSeq lists it as uncharacterized. The record is from RefSeq and is a predicted model, not a curated record. The transcript is spliced from 4 exons. Lineage: Eukaryota; Metazoa; Chordata; Actinopteri; Anguilliformes; Anguillidae.